Molecule: ribosomal RNA, 433 nt
Filed under: uncultured bacterium
Lineage: Bacteria
Description: partial 16S ribosomal RNA
Rfam family: Bacterial small subunit ribosomal RNA
Source: RNAcentral
AACGAACGCUGGCGGCAUGCCUAACACAUGCAAGUCGAACGAGACCUUCGGGUCUAGUGGCGCACGGGUGCGUAACGCGUGGGAACCUGCCCUUAGGUUCGGAAUAACUCCCCGAAAGGGGUGCUAAUACCGGAUAAUGUCUUCGGACCAAAGAUUUAUCGCCUUUGGAUGGGCCCGCGUUGGAUUAGCUAGUUGGUAGGGUAAAAGCCUACCAAGGCGACGAUCCAUAGCUGGUCUGAGAGGAUGAUCAGCCACACUGGGACUGAGACACGGCCCAGACUCCUACGGGAGGCAGCAGUGGGGAAUAUUGGACAAUGGGCGAAAGCCUGAUCCAGCAAUGCCGCGUGAGUGAUGAAGGCCUGAGGGUUGUAAAGCUCUUUUACCCGGGAUGAUAAUGACAUUACCGGGAGAAUAAGCUCCGGCUAACUCCGUG